Molecule: ribosomal RNA, 433 nt
Filed under: uncultured eukaryote
Lineage: Eukaryota
Description: bacterial SSU rRNA
Rfam family: Eukaryotic small subunit ribosomal RNA
Source: RNAcentral
CAGUAGCGUAUAUUAAAGUUGUUGCAGUUAAAAGCUCGUAGUUGGAUUUCUGGUACGCUGCGCCUGGCCCGCCCACCGUCAUGUGGUGUGAGUGUCGGUGCGCGGUUGCCAUCCUUCUAGAGAACGUGUCUACCUUUAAUUAGGCCGGGCUACGGGAUCUAGAUCAUUUACUUUGAAAAUUAGAGUGUUUAAAGCAGGCUUUUGCUAUGAAUACAUUAGCAUGGAAUAAUAAUAUAGGACUUUGGUUCUAUUUUGUUGGUUUCUAGAGCUGAGGUAAUGAUUAAUAGGGAUAGUUGGGGCAUGCGUUAUUAAUACUGUCAGAGGUGAAAUUCUUGGAUUUUGUUAAAAGACGGACUACUGCGAAAAGCAUUUUGCCAAGGAUGUUUUUUCAUUGAUCAAGAACGAAAAGUUAGGGGAUCGAAGACGAUCAGAU